Molecule: ribosomal RNA, 464 nt
Filed under: uncultured bacterium
Lineage: Bacteria
Description: bacterial SSU rRNA
Rfam family: Bacterial small subunit ribosomal RNA
Source: RNAcentral
AGGGUUCGAUUCUGGCUCAGACGAACGCUGGCGGCAUGCCUAACACAUGCAAGUCGAACGAGACCUUCGGGUCUAGUGGCGCACGGGUGCGUAACGCGUGGGAAUCUGCCCUUGGGUUCGGAAUAACAGUGAGAAAUUACUGCUAAUACCGGAUGAUGUCUUCGGACCAAAGAUUUAUCGCCCAGGGAUGAGCCCGCGUAGGAUUAGCUAGUUGGUGGGGUAAUGGCCUACCAAGGCGACGAUCCUUAGCUGGUCUGAGAGGAUGAUCAGCCACACUGGGACUGAGACACGGCCCAGACUCCUACGGGAGGCAGCAGUGGGGAAUAUUGGACAAUGGGCGAAAGCCUGAUCCAGCCAAUGCCGCGUGAGUGAUGAAGGCCUUAGGGUUGUAAAGCUCUUUUACCAGGGAUGAUAAUGACAGUACCUGGAGAAUAAGCUCCGGCUAACUCCGUGCCAGCCGCCGC